Molecule: ribosomal RNA, 301 nt
Filed under: uncultured bacterium
Lineage: Bacteria
Description: partial 16S ribosomal RNA
Rfam family: Bacterial small subunit ribosomal RNA
Source: RNAcentral
CAGCCGCCGCGGUAAUACGAAGGGGGCUAGCGUUGUUCGGAAUCACUGGGCGUAAAGCGUGCGUAGGCGGCUAAUUGAGUCGGAUGUGAAAUCCCCGAGCUUAACUUGGGAAUUGCAUUCGAUACUGGUUAGCUAGAGUGUUGGAGAGGAUGGUAGAAUUCCAGGUGUAGCGGUGAAAUGCGUAGAGAUCUGGAGGAAUACCGAUGGCGAAGGCAGCCAUCUGGCCUAACACUGACGCUGAGGUACGAAAGCAUGGGGAGCAAACAGGAUUAGAUACCCCUGUAGUCCCUGUCUCUUAUAC